This is a long non-coding RNA of Perca fluviatilis (European perch), 353 nucleotides long. RefSeq lists it as uncharacterized. The record is from RefSeq and is a predicted model, not a curated record. The transcript is spliced from 2 exons. Lineage: Eukaryota; Metazoa; Chordata; Actinopteri; Perciformes; Percidae.
CGGCCUGCCAGAAGAACAUCCCCACGCUGACUGCAGCAGGCGCGGAUCGAGACUUGAUUGGGCAAGUGCUGAAGUUUGCCCCACACAGACGGCCAGCUGAGAAGGAGCUGUGGAGCUCUAUUUAUUUAUUUAUUUUUUUUACUUUUUAAUUUUUUUUUUUAAAUCUAUCUUUUUUUUUUUGUUAAAAGAAUUGUAUUUUUGCCACUUUGGCCAUUCACCUACAUAUUACAUACUUCAUCAUUCCAAUAUGCAUCUUGCACACUACAUUUGUACUACAUUUGCACUACAUCUUUUAUCUUUUUUGUAUUUUGUUUAUUGUAUAUACAUAUUGUAUAUUAAAGUUUGAAAUCCCA